ACAUGUUGCAGAUGAGUGAUGUUCAACGUUCGCGGUGGUCUGCCAUCCUCAGAACUAAUUUGAAAGUGAAUGUUCAAAUUAUCUAUUAUCUAAAGGGCGUGGACUGUUCAUUCGCGUCGUACUGUUCAUUCGAGCCCGAAGUAAAUGACGAUUUUGGCCUUAAUUUUGUCAUAAAUUACAUCCUGCGAUUCAGUCUGUUAUAAGCACCUGCCGACAGUAGAAUGCUAGAACUCCAGAAGGUUCAGGUUUUUCCGCUCUCUCGCUUCUCCUUAUCAACUUGACAGUGGUGCAGAUAUUUAGCAACUGGAGGGUUUGAUAAGAUACGCGGCAAGGAUUGAUUUCUGUGGCAAAGGGAUUGAUUUUGCGUCUCAAAUCAAUAUUCCGUCUCUAACCUGCAUUUGAGGUACUUCAUCGGGUCUCCUUUUCUCAGGUUGUCUAGCCUUAUACGCCGCGUCUCAGAUUGUCGUCUGUAGCUUCUGAUUCUAAUCACUGUUAAGAAUUGUCGUGUAUCAAUUUGCCAAGCACAGUUUCAGAUUGGAUUGAAGCUUGCAGAAACUUAGACUUCCAUCACUCAUUGUCGAGCUUCAUCCAGGUUGUAUGCAACAGAGUUUUUGUAUCGUUUUACUGCCACUGUUCCUUUGUCUUUUGCUUAGCAUUAUCUUUGUCUCUCAUUGUUAUUCAGACACUGGGAACAGUGUGCUAUCAGCUUCUGUUACUGUGGAUUCAGUUGAGCUCCGAAUCUGAGAUCAAUAAGAAUUAAGAGAUUGUUACAGGAUUUUCAUGGUGAAAAUCAUGAUACUCAAAGACAAGUGCAAGAAACAUCUAAUAACCAGAAUUUGGCUGGUGGUAUAUCUGAAGCUGGAACUACGAUGACUGAAGCUAGAACUGCAAUUUCCGGUGGAGAUGAAGAGCAUCAAAUUCAUCCAAGAUCAAGGCGUUCAUCUGAGUUGAGAAUGAGAUGAAAAAAAAAUCAACGUUUAGACAAUCAGUGCAGUAUUGGGAAUGAUGAUGCCAGUCAAUUUCAAACAUUGUCGUAAACGAGCUAGAAGCAGUAGAGAUUGAUCUAUUUUCUUUCUUUAGCAAUUGAGAUAGAUAUUUGCAAUUACUUUAGUCUUUCUGUGAAAUUCUGCAAAGUGAUUGAUCUAUUUUCAUUCUCUUUCAGGCCCUUGAGGAAUCCUUCAGCUGAUGCAAUUCCCAUUAAACUCGAGGAACUUAAGAAUGUAUUCGAACAAUCUCCUGACCGCAUUCCUAUGAUGCUGGCCAAUCCUUAUUUUGUGACUAUUCAAACUAAAAACACAAAAUAAGCGAGUAUAGCUUUUAUUUUUCAUUAAACAUUGACAUUCAUUAACUAUUCCCGCAGCAAAGCGCGGGUAGAUUUUAUUACUAGUAUAGCCUAUUUAUAGUAUUUGAUUCGACGUA
Long non-coding RNA from Rosa chinensis, 1419 nucleotides. RefSeq lists it as uncharacterized. The transcript has 6 exons. Lineage: Eukaryota; Viridiplantae; Streptophyta; Magnoliopsida; Rosales; Rosaceae. The record is from RefSeq and is a predicted model, not a curated record.